AUUGAACGCUGGCGGCAGGCUUAACACAUGCAAGUCGAACGAGUGGCGGACGGGUGAGUAAUGUCUGGGAAACUGCCUGAUGGAGGGGGAUAACUACUGGAAACGGUAGCUAACACCGCAUACCAUCAGAUGUGCCCAGAUGGGAUUAGCUAGUUGGUGGGGUAACGGCUAACCAAGGCGACGAUCCCUAGCUGGUCUGAGAGGAUGACCGGCGACACUGGAACGGAGACACGGUCCAGACGCCUACAGGAGGCAGCAGUGGGGAAGAUGGCACAAUGGGCGCAAGCCUGAUGCAGCGAUGCCGCGUGUAUGAGGAAGGCCUUCGGGUUGUAAAGUACUUACAGCGGGGAGGCGUUACCCGCAGAAGAAGCACCGGCUAACUCCGUGCCAGCAGCCGCGGUAAUUC
Molecule: ribosomal RNA, 406 nt
Filed under: uncultured bacterium
Lineage: Bacteria
Description: partial 16S ribosomal RNA
Rfam family: Bacterial small subunit ribosomal RNA
Source: RNAcentral